GAUAAACGCUGGCGGCGUGCAUAACACAUGCAAGUCGAACGAUGAAACUUAGCUGAUUUCUUCGGAAUGAAAAUAAGUGGAUUAGUGGCGAACGGGUGAGUAACACGUGAGUAACCUGCCUUACACAAGGGGAUAGCCUUUGGAAACGAAGAAUAAUACCCUAUAAAGUUAGUCAAUCGCAUGGUAGACUAACCAAAGAUUUAUCGGUGUAAGAUGGACUUGCGUCUGAUUAGCUAGUUGGUGAGAUAAAAGCCCACCAAGGCGACGAUCAGUAGCCGGCCUGAGAGAGUGUACGGCCACAUUGGGACUGAGACACGGCCCAAACUCCUACGGGAGGCAGCAGUGGGGAAUUUUGCACAAUGGGGGAAACCCUGAUGCAGCGACGCCGCGUGAUUUAGAAGGCCUUCGGGUUGUAAAAAUCUUUUUUAUGGGAUGAAAAUGACAGUGCCAUAAGAAUAAGGUCCGGCUAAAUACGUGCCAGCAGCCGCGGUAAUACGUAUGGACCGAGCGUUGUCCGGAAUCAUUGGGCGUAAAGGGUACGUAGGCGGCCUAGUAAGUUAGAAGUGAAAUAAUAUAGCUCAACUAUAUAAAGCUUUUAAAACUGUUAGGCUUGAGAGAUGAAAGGGAAAGUGGAAUUCCUAGUGUAGCGGUGAAAUGCGCAGAUAUUAGGAAGAAUACCGGUGGCGAAGGCGACUUUCUGGUCAUCAUCUGACGCUGAGGUACGAAAGCGUGGGUAGCAAACAGGAUUAGAUACCCUGGUAGUCCACGCUGUAAACGAUGAGUGUUAGGUUCUUGGAAGAAUCUGGGAGCCGCAGCUAAC
This 820-nucleotide ribosomal RNA is filed under the name uncultured Clostridia bacterium. Its description in RNAcentral is "bacterial SSU rRNA". It matches the Rfam family "Bacterial small subunit ribosomal RNA", at positions 28 to 856 of the family's 1533-position model. Lineage: Bacteria; Bacillati; Bacillota; Clostridia. The record is from RNAcentral.